CGGCGUUAGAUUUUCCGCUCAACGAAACGAAUUCCCGCAACGAAAAACUUCCGCCCCCGCUAAAAAUGCGCGUUUUCUUGCCGCAGCGCUCGGCUCGUCCUCUCUCCUGCACAAUCUAUUCCCAGGUCGGAUAGGACGGGUAAUUUAAUUUGGCGAGUAGAGCUGGGCGGGACGCGCGCCGGCCAUCGGGGCGGUUGAAAAUGUCUGGAAUAUAAGAAAACCAACAAUGAGUAGUCGGCGAAGAAAGUCCGAGUAAAAGACACACGGAGUACUCGGCUGCGGCCCCCGCGGAAAACGAGGAGUAGUGACGACGAGCUCACAGCGGUAGCAGCCGCGUUCCGGGCGUUCCGAGUGAGUAACCGAGGCGGCUAAACUAGAAGCUAGUCGACGAGGGAACGAGUAUAAAGGAGAGUCCGCCGCCGCGGCCCUCCCCCCUCCCGAAGAUGAGCAGAAAUUGGGGGUGAAAAGAAGCGGAGGAAAAAACAAACGACGAAGCGGACCGGAGACACAACUUCGGAGAGAUGCUCAUCUGUCUAAUGGGCGCGGUGGCGGCGGCCCACCGGAUCGCCGUAUAGCGUCGCUCAAUUCGCGUACUGCGGAAACGGCCGGGCGUCGCCCAAUUUUCAUCGUCGAGACGACGGAGAGCCGAAGAUCUCGUGUUCGGGGAGAUUAAGAGAAAGUUUUUGUUUCUUUAAAUUUGGUUACCGAUUUUUGGGAAAACGUACAACGUCCAUCAUCGGUCAUUUCGGGUGUGAUCGGUCGGCCUCGAAAAAUAGAAGAAUCGCAACGACCGCCAUUUUGGAUUUCAUCGUCGGAGGGAUUUCAAAAUCUAAUGAGGUGAAAUAGUUCGGUCCGCGAAUAUCAAAAAAAUAUUCAUAAUUUCAACGAGAAGUGAAAACGUAACGAUUAUAAGGAAAAUAAAACUUUGCAGUCAGCCUCGAAAAAUAGAAAAAC
Long non-coding RNA from Athalia rosae (coleseed sawfly), 954 nucleotides. RefSeq lists it as uncharacterized. The transcript has 3 exons. The record is from RefSeq and is a predicted model, not a curated record. Lineage: Eukaryota; Metazoa; Arthropoda; Insecta; Hymenoptera; Athaliidae.